ACUAUUUUCAAGAGAAGGUAGGUACGACUCAAUACAACUGACUAACUUUUGUCUGAAACAUGUAUAUGAAUUAAAGAUAUUGUUUUUUCAUUUGCAGAUGAUCUUCCACCUCCCCAACCAUUCCAAGAGUUAAGUGCUUCUUUCGGAGGAUUUGGCAUUGAAACAGCACAUAGAUAUUGGUUAUCUGAAAUCAACGAUGCCACAGAAAACUUUGCUAAAAAAGUUGGUUCUGGGGGCUAUGGGACAGUGUAUUAUGGAAAGUUGAAAAACGGAAAAGAAAUUGCCGUCAAAGUUCAAACCAAUGAUUCUUGUCAGGGAAACAGACAGUUCUCAAGUGAGGUUUCUCUACUUUCAAGAAUACAUCACAGAAAUCUGGUUGAAUUUCUCGGUUACUGCCAGCAAGAAGGCAAAAGCAUUCUUGUAUAUGAGUUUAUGCAUAAUGGAGCACUGAAAGAGCAUCUUCAUGGCUCCUUGUCUCAGGAAAGUCCCAUCAGUUGGAUAAACAAACUUAACUCUUUGUAUAAAUCCUUUCACACUUGAUACGCAUAUUGGUGUAAUAAGCAAACUUAACUCUUUGUAUA
Molecule: long non-coding RNA, 581 nt
Organism: Zingiber officinale
Lineage: Eukaryota; Viridiplantae; Streptophyta; Magnoliopsida; Zingiberales; Zingiberaceae
Exons: 3
Source: RefSeq, a predicted model, not a curated record